This 253-nucleotide ribosomal RNA is filed under the name uncultured bacterium. Its description in RNAcentral is "partial 16S ribosomal RNA". It matches the Rfam family "Archaeal small subunit ribosomal RNA", at positions 474 to 727 of the family's 1478-position model. The record is from RNAcentral.
UACCAGCACCCCGAGUGGUCGGGACGAUUAUUGGGCCUAAAGCAUCCGUAGCCGGUUCUGCAAGUCUUCCGUUAAAUCCACCUGCUCAACAGAUGGGCUGCGGAGGAUACUACAGGGCUAGGAGGCGGGAGAGGCAAGCGGUACUCAGUGGGUAGGGGUAAAAUCCUCUGAUCCACUGAGGACCACCAGUGGCGAAGGCGGCUUGCCAGAACGCGCUCGACGGUGAGGGAUGAAAGCUGGGGGAGCAAACCGG